Orbicella faveolata is the source of this 861-nucleotide long non-coding RNA. Lineage: Eukaryota; Metazoa; Cnidaria; Anthozoa; Scleractinia; Merulinidae. The record is from RefSeq and is a predicted model, not a curated record.
GCGUAAGAAAUUUCCAAAGUAAUAGCAGAGGUAGAGGAAAUGCAAAGGCUGUUUCUGGAACAACACGAGCUUGGGUAGCCAACCCCUUGGGAGUGCCAGACUUCAGUCUAUUUCCUUACCUCUGCUCAAGGAAUAUGUACCUGCACAGUAAUAUACAGUUAAAAAAAGAAAAAAAAGUUAUGAAAGAAAAGAAGAAAAAACAAUGCUAUACUUAAAUUCAGAGAAAUCAUGUAGAACUGAAUGCUCAAUACCAACUUAUUAUUAUGAUAAAAAAAAAAUAGUCACAUAGAUAUCAGUUGUGAGGUACAAGGGCAGUAAUUUGAAAUGCAUGUCUCUUUUACAUUCUGCAUUUACAUAUGUCUAUUGUAUUCAGCACAAUACUUGAAUUUAUGAUAUAUUUAUAAUUAUUAUAAUAUAAUAAUAAUAAUUUUACUAACAAUAAUGGUGAUGGUGAUGAUGAUGCUACAUAUUUUUGUUUCCAACACGACUCUUUACAUGUUCCAUGCUUAUAGUUGUUGCCAUGUGCCUUGCCUAGUAUGUAUUUGGCAGCUUCUAUGUUGUUUGCAGAACCUAUUGAAGUGUCAUAAAAUAAGGUCACUACUUGUGUGCAUUCCUUUUCAGACAUGAUGUACCUUUGGUCUUGCAAUAAGUUCAUGGAUGAUCAAGGAGAUUUUAAGGCUAAGAUUACAGCAUAAGUUGAAAGCAGUGGAAGAAUAACAUGAAAAAUGCUGAUCAAUCCCUCAAGAUGUUGCAGAGUGGAGUUCAGAAUUAGGGCUUACAAUGUAUUGUGAAAAAAUGUAGCUUCAGUUGUAACUCGUGCGUUACCAUUUUGGAAAUAAAUGUAGACUAUGUUUAAUUGUC